RNAcentral lists this ribosomal RNA (293 nucleotides) under uncultured bacterium. Its description in RNAcentral is "partial 16S ribosomal RNA". It matches the Rfam family "Archaeal small subunit ribosomal RNA", at positions 455 to 747 of the family's 1478-position model. The record is from RNAcentral.
GUGCCAGCCGCCGCGGUAAUACCGGCAGCUCAAGUGAUGUCCCAUAUUAUUGGGCCUAAAGCGUCCGUAGCUGGCUGCGCAAGUCCGUCGGGAAAUCCACUCGCCCAACGAGUGGGCGUCCGACGGAAACUGCACAGCUUGGGACCGGAAGGCUCGAAGGGUACGUUCGGGGUAGGAGUGAAAUCCCAUAAUCCCGCACGGACCACCGAUGGCGAAAGCAUCUCGAGAAAACGGAUCCGACAGUGAGGGACGAAAGCUAGGGUCUCGAACCGGAUUAGAUACCCGUGUAGUCC